Molecule: long non-coding RNA, 227 nt
Filed under: Elaeis guineensis (African oil palm)
Lineage: Eukaryota; Viridiplantae; Streptophyta; Magnoliopsida; Arecales; Arecaceae
Description: long non-coding RNA (EGUI_LNC009425)
Source: RNAcentral
CUCCCUUUGAUCAACAUCCUUUUACCUAAUCUGUUGGUGGCACACUAACACUCAUAUCUAUCCUUUUUUGAAGCAAGCUUGGCAUAUGUUGGUAUAUGGGAUGCCCAUGAUGCAAUAGUUUUGGGUGGUUAUUUUUAGUAACCACCCAACCCUAUUUAAAAAAAGUAAAAAACUAUAAGACAGCGAGAAGAUAUACAUUCUGAAGAAAAAAUAGAACAAAAAAUAAC